UACAGAGGGUGCGAGCGUUAAUCGGAAUUACUGGGCAUAAAGCGUGCGUAGACGGUCAAGUAAGUCGGGUGUGAAAGCCCCGGGCUCAACCUGGGAAUUGCAUUCGAGACUGCGUGGCUAGGGUGCGGAAGAGGGAAGCGGAAUUUCCGGUGUAGCGGUGAAAUGCGUAGAUAUCGGAAGGAACACCAGUGGCGAAAGCGGCUUCCUGGUCCAGCACCGACGUUCAGGCACAAAAGCGUGGGGAGCAAACAGG
Molecule: ribosomal RNA, 253 nt
Filed under: uncultured bacterium
Lineage: Bacteria
Description: partial 16S ribosomal RNA
Rfam family: Bacterial small subunit ribosomal RNA
Source: RNAcentral